This 453-nucleotide ribosomal RNA is filed under the name uncultured bacterium. RNAcentral's name for it is "bacterial SSU rRNA". It matches the Rfam family "Bacterial small subunit ribosomal RNA", at positions 28 to 507 of the family's 1533-position model. The record is from RNAcentral.
GAUGAACGCUGGCGGCGUGCAUAACACAUUCAAGUCGAACGGAAGUAGCAAUACUUUAGUGGCGGACGGGUGAGUAACGCGUAAGCAAUCUGCCUCUGUGAGUGGAAUAACAGCUGGAAACGGCUGCUAAUACCGCAUGACGCAACGGAACCGCAUGAUUCUGUUGCCAAAGAUUGAUCGCACGGAGAUGAGCUUGCGUCCGAUUAGAUAGUUGGCGGGGUAACGGCCCACCAAGUCGACGAUCGGUAGCCGGACUGAGAGGUUGAACGGCCACAUUGGAACUGAGAACGGUCCGGACUCCUACGGGAGGCAGCAGUGGGGAAUAUUGCACAAUGGGGGAAACCCUGAUGCAGCGACGCCGCGUGAGCGAAGAAGUAUUUCGGUAUGUAAAGCUCUAUCAGCAGGGAAGAAGAAAUGACGGUACCUGACUAAGAAGCCCCGGCUAACUACGUG